GGGCUGUUGCUGGUCCUCGAAUGGGGACAUGUGCACGCUCUGUUUACACAUCYACUCACACCUGUGCACCCUCUGUAGUUUUACGGUCUGGGGGACCCUGUCUUCCUUCCGUAGUUCUACGUCUUUACACACACACUGUAAUAAAGUCUUAUGGAAUGUAUGCCGCGUCUAACGCAAAACAAUACAACUUUCAGCAACGGAUCUCUUGGCUCUCGCAUCGAUGAAGAACGCAGCGAAAUGCGAUAAGUAAUGUGAAUUGCAGAAUUCAGUGAAUCAUCGAAUCUUUGAACGCACCUUGCGCCCCUUGGAUAUUCCGAGGGGCAUGCCUGUUUGAGUAUCAUGAACACCUCAACUCUCAUGGUUUGCCGUGACGAGCUUGGACCUUGGGGGUUUUGCUGGCCUGUGGUCGGCUCCUCUCAAAUGAAUCAGCCUCCCAGUGUUUGGUGGCAUCACGAGUGUGAUAACUAUCUACGCUCGCGGUUUUCCACCAGGUAACCUUUGGUGACAAAGGUUCGCUGGAGCUCACAGAUGUCUCUCCUCAGCGAGGACAGCUUUUUAACGUUCGAUCUCAAAUCAGGUAGGACUACCCGCUGAACUUAAGCAUAUCAAUAAGCGGAGGAAAAGAAACUAACAAGGAUUCCCCUAGUAACUGCGAGUGAAGCGGGAAGAGCUCAAAUUUAAAAUCUGGCGUGCCUCUGGUCGUCCGAGUUGUAGUCUAGAGAAGUGUUUUCCGUGCUGGACGUGU
RNAcentral lists this ribosomal RNA (745 nucleotides) under uncultured fungus. RNAcentral's name for it is "eukaryotic LSU rRNA". The stretch from base 186 to 340 matches the Rfam family "5.8S ribosomal RNA". Lineage: Eukaryota; Fungi. The record is from RNAcentral.